Molecule: transfer RNA, 73 nt
Filed under: Actinomycetota bacterium
Lineage: Bacteria; Bacillati; Actinomycetota
Description: tRNA-Lys
Rfam family: tRNA
About the family: Transfer RNA (tRNA) molecules are approximately 80 nucleotides in length. Their secondary structure includes four short double-helical elements and three loops (D, anti-codon, and T loops).
Source: RNAcentral
GGGCCGCUAGCUCAAUUGGCAGAGUGACGGACUUUUAAUCCGGCAGGUCAGGGUUCGAGUCCCUGGCGGCCCA